AAAUUCAUUUGUUCCAAUGCUACAAGUCUACAACAGUACAUCACAAAAAAACAAGUAACAUCCUAAACAACAACAAACAACAGACACCGGCAAAGCCAUUCACCAUGCUGAAGUGUAAGAGGGCAGCUACGAGCUCAACUGAACAACACCACUAAUAAUGGAGUAAAACUUGAAAAAAAAAAAAAAACCCAAUACCGAGACUUGUAGGAAAAUUGUGAUUAGAAUAACUCCCUCAGUCUAUACAUGCCUAUAGGUUUAGCAGUCUCCUAUUCUUGGUCAGCCAAACAAGCACCUUCUGCCCAUAGAUAUUGCUGAUCAUCAUUUGACUGUUCCUUUCUAUCAGAGCAAUUAAACCUCUUUGGACUUCACCCUGCUCUUGCAAAAAUGGGAAGAGGACAACAAGUGAUCAAAACCCGCUUGAUUUUGUGCUUAAAAUAUAUAUGCUUGAUACAGUAAAAGAAAAAAUAAAAGGUACUAAACCUAUACUAGUCAUGCAUGAAGUAGGUAGUAGCAAAGUUUUGGCGAGCUUGGCAAAACUUCUCGAAAUUUUUUCGAAAAGCACUGUGGCUCUUCAUAUUGAUGGAAUAUAUUUCAUAAAACUAUUACGUGAUCUAACAACCAUUAAAAGGCCUAUUAACUACUAAUCAUUGUCAAAAUGGAAUUUCAACAAAUGCAAGUCUAAAACCAUCAUCACCCCAGUACAGAGACUGAUUUUGAGUUAAGUAGUCUACCACACGAAACAAAGAAUAGUACACAAUCUCUGAGAAAAUCAAAGAUGUAACAGACUCAAUUCCUCACAGAAAAAUAUGUCUCUCAUGUUGAGAAUUGACUAGAAUAUAUUCAGACCAAUUCAAGCAGUUUGAGCCUGGGAAAUCCAGAUUGUCAAUACACUCGCACUAUAAAGUUCAAUUAAACAACAUGAAUGGCAUAUAGAAACAAUUUGAUACUGAUAUUCUCAGUUAGAUACGUUGAAGAAUAAAGUGAUGCUUACUAUCUGCACAUUACACCUGGUUUGCAGUUAUCCAACAAGCAGGUGAGAUAUAUCUUGGAGUGCAAUGAUCUAACCUGAGAUACUGAUAGUGCCUUCUGGAUAACAAAGUUUCCGAAAGGAUCCACAAGGAGCAUGGAAGCACCUGGAUUGCUUAGCAACUCCAAGAUUAUUUGUGUGGAUUGAUCCUCACUUGUUGUUAACAAGCACUUCUCCACAACAUUACUUCCAUACUUGUUACAUGAAAGAGCCAUGUAGCUCCCUUCAAACUGUGUGAGGAGAUUUUCUGUGAUUUGUGGCAUCUUUAAAUCCAGAAUAUGUUGCACUACAUAGUUUCUAGAGAAAAUUAUGGAAAAUUACAAGAACCAUAUUAAGUUAAUAUUACGCUUGAAUGUGUAGUAAAGCAUUGAUGAGGUUUAGUAAAACAAACCCAUAAUGAUCUUCAGCCAGGAGUAGUGCAUUUGCUAUGAUCUCAGCUACCAGUCGAUCUCUGUGUUCUCCCUCAGAGUAUUCAACACAUCGCUGCAGCACACAGCAUCCACUCUUGUUGGUUGCAAUCUCAAAGCACUUUUCUGCCACCUGUUUCAAAAUAUACUGCAAAAGAAAAUCCACUAUCAGAUAAUCAUGAAGCCAAAAUAUGAUUUGGUUUCAGGCAAUAUUUUAAUUGCAGAAUAACAGCAAGUCUAGCUUGUUGAAGAUAACAAGUGCAUCAAAAAAGAGGAUUACAAGUGUUAGAGCAAAAAGUUCCAAUAUCCUGUAAUUUUAAAGCAGAUUUUGGUGAUGAAAUACCUAUAUUUCCCUAUUUCACAUUUUAUGCAAGUCUAAUUGUGCAACUACGUUGAGAUAGAAUGCCUUGUAAAAGAAGGUGAUGGACAAAAACAAGAAAGUGAGGAAAUUAUGAUAGAACGUUAGAGAGAAAGAUAAGAGAAACAUGAGGCAACAGACAUAAAAUAACCCAUGGUAAAUAGGUAACAUUAUGGAUUCAAAUGAAAAGUUUUAGAAAGCUGUGGAUCCAACCACGGCAAGAUCAAGUAAAUUUCCAUUAUUGCAGCCUACAAACUACCAUAAGUUUUUGCAAGCUUGUUGAUGUUCCCAAGCUUUACACCUUAAUUCAGGUGGUGGAGAUGUAAUGUUUAUAGCUAUAUCCUCCCCCCAAACUGCACACCAAUGAUUAGGCACAGAAAAACGUUUCACAUCCAGUCUAAAAAAGAGCUUGUAGAAAGGAAGAACCUUGCAAAGUCCCAAAGAUUCAAAUCCAAAUCAAAGCAUAACAUGUGGAAGUCCUGAUAUUCUAAAGAAUGAACUAUGAAGAGAGCACGGAAUAAACAAAUAAUUAAAGACAGGAGAAAAUCAAUACAAGCUAUACGAAAAUAAGGGUUUCAUUUUACAAGUUUUUAUGAAAUUUCUGAAAAUUUUGCUAAAAUUUUUUCAAUUGUUAUAGCAGGUAAGGGUCAAAGUUGACCCAAGAAAUCCUGUGCUGAUAUUUUCAAACCUCAGUCAGCUAUAUAAUUAGCUAAAGCAGCCAAUCACUUUACUUCAGAAAUCUCUGAUAUGGUGUUUACAAUAGCUCACAUCAGAUGUUCACGACAACUAAAACAAGAGAAUUUCAACUUGCAAAUUGAUUUGAAAUUCUAUUGCAAUUUUUUUAAAAAAACAGGCGCAAAAUCAGAAGCAAUCAGAACAGAAGCCAUAAAGUUAUCAUAGAUCCCAGCCAGAUGAAUAAUGAGUGCAACCAGUAUAUAUCAAGUGCAAGCAAUGGCAUAAACUUAUACUAAACUUCUUCAAAAGAAACCCAACAAAAGCCAAAGCUAUGGAAGCCUAUGACAACCCACAGAGAAGUUGCCAGCUAUCCUUUAUUGAGAAAAGUGACUAGAGUUAUAAUAGUGUGGGAGAAAAAAUUGCAGCCCUUUUCUUCCCCAUAAAAGAUAAAAGAUUUUCACAAUCUUAAACGAAAGAUUCCACUGGAAACGGUUAAAUAUUCAGGAUUUUAGGCUAUAGCAUAAAUGCAUAUACAGAAAGGAGAAUAUUGCAGUAGUAAUUGCACCUCUAAGAAGUUCAGGUGGAUGGGGAAAACUAGAAUUUGUUUAUAACCCAACUAAGUAUCCAUUAAGUAAAACUUAAAAGAUGGAAAAAUUGAAUUAUUCAAAGAUAGAAAAGGGUAUAAAAAAGAACUUAAUCGAUAAACAAAAUCACUUGACAGAGACAAAAUGUGAAAACAAGUAAAAUAAUCACCACGUUGAAGGGAAGUGAUGGAGCAAAUUAUCUAGAACACAAAUAGCAGCAGGACAAGAAAUAAUAACCCACAUUACACUCCAUCAGAAAUAUGAAAUAAUAACCCAGAUUACACUAUGGAGAUAUAACACAGGAUUGCAACAAACUAUUUGUUUUUUGGGGAUGGGGGGUUCAAUGAAUUGAAGAUCACCUUAUUGUCUUGAGGAGAAAAAUGCUUCAUAGAAUGCUGGAUCACAUGAUGACCAUUGGAAUCCUUUAUCAAUGCAACAGCACCUUGGUUUAGAGCUGAUACAACUAAAGAAACUUGCAGAGGGUUUGUAAUACAAUUCAACAACUUCUGUACAGCCCGAGUUCUAUUGCCAAAAAGAAUAAAUAAAUCAAUUCAGCAGUUAAUAUAGUAAGAAGAAACAAACUUAGCCGCUGUAUGUCAGUUUCUUUAAGCAAAAACAAAAGACAGAUACCACAUUCUCAAUUUGCACAGAAAAUAGGAAUGAAUAAAAUAACAGCCGAAUGUAUGUACAUACCCAUGCACAUCAAGACAAAUCCUCACGAGUUGAAAAUCCGUUCGAGUUAGCAUUCGCAAAACCCGAGUCCUCUGUUCCUCACUAAUCACCUCUAUAAGCUUUUGUACAACAUAAUUCCCAAAUGGGUCCGCUAUCAACCCCCCAACAUAGUCUAUCACUUCGUAAAACAACAUAUCAAUUUGUUCUCUUGUUGCACUCUCAAUAAGCCUUUGUAAGAACUUACAUCCGUGUUGAUCCUUAGCCAAUGCCACGAUCUUACCACUCAAAUCCUCCCAGGACACGUAAUCUUGUAACCAAGGUGGCCUCCUCCCAUAAUUCUGGCUUUUAGACACCAAAACAUUAUUCAUCGACCCAUAAUGCGAUUCUCUUUGCAUUAAUCCUCUCCGGUUGUUAAGGUUUGGAUUUUGAUACGCACCACCAUAAACGAAAGUAUUACUCCUCAAAUCAGAAUUAGAACCAGCCAUCAUUGGAUUGUGAACAAAAUCUUGAACCCUCGUAGCCCCGAAAGCAUUUAUAUCAUUGUUUUGGGUUGGCAAAAAACCAACCUGGCCGCUAGAGGCAAGAUCAUCCAAAAUUUUAAAAUCUACAACAGACCCAUUAAAGAUAUUGUCAUGAGAACCUGAAUAUAAAGUUUGAUUAUCAUGAGAUACAUUGAGUCUUAAGAAGACAGAUUCAAGAGUUUCUAGGUAGGGGUUUUGAGUAGAAGUUUCAGGGCUCGCAAGGCUUUGAUCGAUUAAACGGGAAAAGGGAGUCUCAGGGGAAAACGGCGCCGUUCCAGCAAGAAAUCUGCGGCGCUGCUGCUGCUGGUAAGGGUCCAUAAUUCAGGAUGAAAAGAAAAAAGAAGUGAGAAAAAGGCAGAUAAGGGUUGGGAGGGUUAUGGGUUAAAUGCAAGUUUUGAGAGGUUUGGGGGUUUAAAGGAGAGAAAAUUGGUGAUUUGAUUGGAGAAGAAGAUUGUUAUGGAGAGAUUUUACUGGUGUUAAUAGAGUUCGUAUGAUAAGGGAAAUAUAGUUGACUGGAAGAGUUAUAGAUGGAGAGUGAGACUGCAAGUGUGAGAGAGGCAAUUUUGCAUGCUUUUUUUGGUAAGUAUUCAUGCAAGGAAGGAAAGAAACCUUCAAGUGUUUGUGUCCUCUUUUCUUUUCUUUUCUCUUCCCUUGCCUUUUUCUUUUGUUUACGCGGCGUAUGUGUUUCUUCUGCUUCUUGUGGGUGUCCAAAUAGGUUAACAAAGCAGCAAUUUUUUCUUACUCGUUCUUUUGCCCUCGCAUGUGUAUUCUGUGCCUUUAUUAAUAUUAUUUUUUUUUUCUUUUUUUAAGGUUGUUUCUGGCCUCCUGUUUAUCUGGGACCCAUCGUUGAGGUUAUGGGAGCUCAGGAUUGUAAGACUUCGACGUCCAAUUUGGGCAAUUAGUAUUCAAAAUGAAAAAGAAAAGCGAAUUAACACGGCAACAACAAAUUUUAAAGAAAUGAAAUAUUUUAUGUAUGUCACCGUUUAAAGAGGUGAUAUUUAAUUAAAUAUGAUGUUUGUAAAUUGGGAUAUCAAUUAUAAUUUUAUUAUAAUUUUAUUGUGAUUCAAAACAUGAUAAAAUUAUAAUUAAUAGUGUAAUUUAUGAUCUCUACAUUAAUUAAAUUACCGGUUGGCACUGAAAAACAGAGAUAAACUACCAUGUGAACAAUAAGUUCUUAAGAUUUUAACUAAAAUCUAUUCUUGAGUCUACAUGUUAGAAAAAGAUAUAUAUUUUAACUCAUAAAAUAUAUUUUAAAAAAAUAUUUUAUAAAAUCAUAGUUUUUGUGUGAACCGAUCAAUAUGUUUAUACAAUUUUCUUGAUCGGUUCAUACAACUAUCUCGAUUGACCAACCAGUUGAGUUGGAGAAUAGGUAGUGAGGUUUUUGCCCCAUCUAAAUCUAACAAAAAAAAAAUAUGAGACUUAAUAUUUACUUUGUUAAUAUGACAUUUAAUUUAGUUAAUGAUUUUAGAGAGUUAAAAAAAUUAUAUUUUUAACAAGAUUUGGAUAGUGUUUUUCCUAUAUAAAAACUAUAUCUAAAAUUUUGUCUCACUUAAAAAAACCUGUAAAAAACCAUAAUAACCAAACUCAACAAAAUCUCAUAUUUCAUAAUCAUAAGUAGCCCACGAAUGCAAAUAAAAAAACAUAUAUACAUGAAAAAUGAAUUUCAAUUACUUAAAUAAUACAACAUUCAAGCAAUUGAUGAAAUCCCAAAAUAUAUAAAUAUAACUCAUCUAUUUAUCUACGUCUACGACAUCUACUAGAUGAUCCGAGCUCAUUAAUAGCAUAACUCGAUCCGGCUUUUUAUACUUGCCUGAAUGGCUUCAUCCUCUGCCAUGACAUCAUCAAGAGUUAAUCUAUUUUCAAAGGUUUCAAGUCUAGUGCGACAAACAUUUAACCAUUGGGAUUCAUAGAUGUAACUUUCAUUUUCUUCGUCAAUAUUACAAAGUAUAAAUACGGUCCCUUAACCCUCCUGUAGCAUAAAGUCAACCUAAUAUUUAUAAAAUAUUAAUUUUAAAUUAAAAGAUCAAUAUAUAAAAACCAAUGUUUAACAUAUAUUGAUUAUAAUAUAUUAGAUUACUUAUGAUAUUUUGAAACUGCUGGAUAUGUUCGGGAACAUGCUCGAGAUCCGGAUUAAUGACUUGAUGUGUAAUAUUCAUGUGCCAAAUCAAACACUUCUCAUUUGUAAUCACAAGAUGCAUAUUUAUAAAUAUCUCAUUCAUUCAUGCAUCCCAUUAUGAUAUAUAAACUUUAAUGCAACUUAACUAAUUAUAAUAAUCAUUUUUACCCCAAUUAGUUAUAGCAUACAAAGCUUCACUCGUAUCGAUAUCGUUUGGAAUGUGUUGUCCGUUGCUGAACUGACACAUUACCUUAUAUGGAAAAUGUUGCUCGACAAUAUCAACAAGAUCACUGAUGCCUAUGUAUCCAUCCUAAUAGUGCAAAUAGCUAGAUAAAUUGUUAAUCUUUCAUUACCUUUAAAAUAGAAAUUUCUUAGAUACUAAACAAAUACAAUUCGGUGAAGUCAAGUUUUUUUAUUUAAAAAAUGACUCAAAAAAUACUUGGAUAGCAUAUUGCUUAUCUAGCUUGCUCCAAUAAAAUGUCAACUCAUGCUACCCGUUGUUAUAAUUCAAUUUUUUACUCUUAUUUUUUUAUCUAAAUAUUCUCAAAAUACAAAAGGUAAAAAAAUAUAUAUUCUUGAUAUAUUUGUAUUAUUUUCAGCAUCAUUUCAAAAAAAAUUAAAAUUUAAAAAUAUAUUUUCAACAUAUUUAGCAAUUAACACAUAUAUUUUAAAAUCAUUGAUUAAUUCUUGAUAUUAAAUUGGCAUUGAAGUUGUAUUUUUUUAAAAUAUCAAAAUAAAAAAAAAGUUAAAAAUAAAAAUAUAUAGAAAAGAAGACCAAAAGUGCAAGGAAAAAAAAUUAAAAAAUAAAGUGAAUUUGAUAUAUGGUCACCAAGCAAUUAGGAAAGAAGAGAGAAAAAAUUUUGCCUAUAAAAUGAUGAAGGAAUCUCACCAGAGAGGGAGAGGGAAAAAACCACAAAUAAUCACCAAAACACUCCCUCUCCCAUAAAAAGAAAAAACAACAACAACAAUAAAGAUUCUCAUGGAAAAAAACAAAAAAGUUUACCUUUUCUACAAACUCGCACUCUCCAACACAAAAAUUAAAAAAUAACUUGGCAGCUUCCACGAGAGUUCUUCGCAACGGAAAUGGAUGAUUGGGAUCACGCAAGCAACUUUAAAGCCUAGUUGUAAGUUGCAACUAACUACAACAAUUUCCAUUGCAUUUCCCACAUUAAUCCUCACAUGUUUCUAGUAAUUUUGACUUAUUAUCAACAUCGAGAAUCAAAAUUGUUAGUAGUGUAUUUUUUUCUUUGAUUCCUAUAUGCCUGAAAAGUUCGUGUGUGCUAAACCAAACCCAUUAUUAGAAAGCAUCACAAAAUGGUGACUGAAGUCAUUAACAAAAAAACUAAGUAGUAUGGCAAAAGAAUUGUUCAUCUAUACUGAUAUCACUGUAUAUUGUAAUAGUUCUUUGAGUUCUCUUCCUUCUACUUGGUAUGGUUGGGGUGGGUUAUUAGAGGGUUUGGAUUCUUUUAGAGCAUGAGAUGUGGCUCUCGGCUCAUGGGUUGGUGUUGGGUGCUCUGUGUUUAUUGCUCGGUUCUAUCAGUCUUUGCUGUUGGAUGGGCUUUGUGUUGAUCGGUUGAUUAGUUCUGUUGGUGGCUCUAGCAUGACUAGUGAGGACUGGUUUGGAUGGAGCUAGGGUGGGGGCUGCUUUUUCCCAGGUUUGAGAGAACACCAUCAUUGUGCAUUUAAUACACAGCCUACUUUCACCUACGUUGGCCCUCUGUUCAACACAGGGCACUUUUCAAUCUGCAUUGCCAGUUUAUUGAUCUCUCUUGCUUAGUUUCUGCUCAUGUCUUGAUGUAACCAGGUUCUGUUUUUUUUUUUUCUAUUCGGUUUCUUUCUUGGUUUGGCAUUAGUGGCUUUUGUGCUUCUGUCGUCAUUUCAUUAUGCCCUGUGUGGGCUUUUUUUGGUAUUUUUUGCUCGGCCUGUGUCCUUGAUUUCUUUCAUACUUUCACAUCAGUUGGGGUAUAUAUAACAAAAAAAAUUCUUAGUGGUUUUCCCUGCAUUCUUUCUCGCUGCUUGGGCUCCUGUUGCUGCCCUCUCAGUUUUGUUUUCUUGGUGUGUGCUCUUUGGCUUCUUUUUUUUAUCAUUAUCUUUUGACCAUGCCUUUUCUUAUGCAUCCUUUUUUUUGACAGGUUUUCUGACGCCCUGCAAAGCUUCUCAUCCUUUCAUUUGCUGCGUCUAUCUUGGUUUUGCAGGUGGGUUAUCGUUCUCUAUUGUUUUUUAUGGGUUGCCUUUUCUUGGUGGCUUUGUAUUGCUUGCUUGGCUAUGUUUGUGGUCUGUGAUUCUUUUUUUAUUUGGUCAUCAGAUGCUUCAUCUUCUUCUGUUUUUUCUUGCUUAUGUUCUGUUCUUUGCCUGUCUUUUUUUUUGCUUUUUUUUGGGGUGGGAACACUUGCCUUGUCCACUAACUGUUUGAUUAUAAGUUUGAUUAUCUCUUUACACCUCUUGCUUCGUGUCAGCUUUUCUGUGUUUCUUUCCUUUUUUCCCCUGCUAUGUGUGAAGGACAAGCAAUCCAUGGAAUUCGUUGGAUUGGUUGUGAUUGUUUUUGUGCAAGAGGUUUGAUCUUUAAUCUUGGUUUAGGGUCGUCAUUAAAUUAAGAUUAGGCAUGACCAGUGUGGUUACUGUGCUACCUUUGAUUUCUAUGUUUUUUGUCCUUCCAUUGUUUGGGAUGAGAGGCUUUCAACCAGCCAUCUUAUUUUGAAUGUUGGAGAGUGCACCACUGAGUUAAAUGUGUCAUUGCCAUGUCUAUGUGAAUUGUCAGUGCUUCGCAUCCAUUAAUUUGUUUUUUGUUCAUUAUUUACACUGAGAUUUUGGUUCAACCAUUUCUGUCUCAUAAGCUGGAUUUGUGUGCAUUUAUUUAGGCUCGCUUGAUGUUAUGUACAUAUAUAUCUUCUUGAAAUCUCGGUUGUUUGGUUGUCAUGUCAUUUUUUUAAAAGAUGGUCAUAAUGCUAGCCUACGUUUAAAAAUGUAAUAUGGCCAAUGAAGAUUGCCUUGCUCAUAAUAAGGGUUUCUUAAUGUUAUGGCUUGCUUUUAGACUUAGAUGCAACAAGCAUGUGUUAUGAAAUAUAGAUUAGAGACAAGCUGUGAGACUGGAGUAAUGAAUUGUACAUAUUUUUUUUUUGUUUUUCCUUCACACACAGACUUUUUCAAAGCUUAUACUUGGUCUAGAGUGUUUUUCAAACAUCACCAUUCCAGCACCUCCUUUUCUGCCAAUCUCCCCUGAUUCGUUUUUUUUAUAUGUGUGUUUGGGUGUUUGACCUCUGUCUUAUUCCAUAAAAUGGUAGCACAAAAUAGUUUAGCAGAGUUGGUAAACUGCAGGGAAGAAAAGCCUGCUCUUUUUUUAGUUGGGAUUAAGAGAAGACUCGCUGGAUAUGUGUGUGCAGAAUUAUUGUGUCCUAGAUUCUAUAUUUUGGGCAGCAAUCAAAGCUGUCAAGUUAUAUUUGUGAUUUUGAAAAUUUAGUGAAUUGGGUCAUUUUAUAAUCUUUUUAAUCUAUUUAGGUUUGGGUUGAGAGAUUAAUGAUCCUUUUUUUGUUAAGAUUUUCAUUGAUGAAGGGAUUGAUCAAUAGAAUUGGAUGAUCAAGAGCCAUGAACCCUUAUGAAUUAAUUUGAGAAGCUACUUUUGAGUAAAGAAAUGUGGUUCUGAAAUUAUAAUGUACAGUGUGGAUAAGAGCAUCAUUGUGAAUUUUACGGGAUUCUUCUACCAGUCUCAUGGCUAUGUAGGCAUGCUUUUGAUGGAUAUAACUGACAAAAGUGGUCAGCUAGGGAGGAGGGGUUGAGGUAUGUGUUUUAUACUGAAGAUUGAGGUUAUAAAAGAAUUAUGGUGAUUGAGAAUUAACAUGUUUUUUUAUUGCUGUCAAUGCAUGUUAACUUUAAUGGUGCUGGGAAAUCAACUUUGUUUUAAGAUUAAGCUUCAGAGCAUGAUUAUUUCAUUAGUUGACUCUGGUAAUCUAAAUGAGUUAAACGUUUGCAUUGAAAUGAAAUGAAGUGUGGCUAAAUCUUUGCCUACUUGCACGAUACCCUUGCUAUGAAAAGAUCAAGACAACAGUCAUAAGGGGCAAUAUAGAGGAUUGUUAUUGGUUAGAAUUUUCUUGGUUGCACAUUUAGGCUUUGGAUAACUUUCAUGAAGUUGCCAUUCAUUUGGACUAGAUAAUGCAGCCUUUACAAGGAUUAUCAUGCUUAAUUCUUUGAUGUAUGAGACUAUGACAGAUCAAAAGGUGAUAUUAGAUGGAGAUGACAUCACAUUAGAUUUUGGCAAGUGGAGAAAUUCAAGGAAUGGCUAGAAAUGAGAAUCAGAUUGUGAGAGUUAGGGACUAUACCAUAAUCAAGAGAAACUGUCCACCUUUACAUGGUAAUAUAUUCAAGUUUUCCAAAUGUUGGAAUUUUUUUAUGCAACCAGGUGUCUUAUAUGCAAGAACAUGUGUACGUUCUAAAAGUUAAACUUAUCUAGUCCCAGUAUUCUACCAAUGCUAUCCUUUCUAUCAUAUCCUGCUCAACUAUCCUACCCAUCCUCUAUUGUCUAAUAAGUGGUUGGUCUCUUUCACUCUAUACAAUAGAAGGGAUGCAUGCACUUUCCACCAAGUCAUAUAAGAAGGGAAACCGAUAAGAGGCACUAAAUUGAUACCAAUAUGUAGUUUUUUCGCAAACAAUAUCAUGUUGUGGUUCUCCAUAAAAAAUUAAGUUUCUUUCAGUAAUAUUUUAAUGAUUUUUUAAAAAAUACAUCUCCAUAAUUUGGCAUGCCUUUCCAAAAUAUAAAGCUCCACAAGGAUCUGUUUCUCCUUAUGUUGAAAAAGUGCAGCUAUCAAGUUCAUCAUCAAACCAUGAGCAUAGAUAUUUCCAAUGUAUUAUUAAAAAUGACAAAUAUCAACUGAAACCAAGAAUUAAACCAAGUGCUGAAAAGAAAUGCAAUGUCCGAUUUCCUACCUCUAAGGUUAUCACGCAAGGAUAAAAAAUGAAACUGGCAAUUAAAUUAUUAUGUGUUAAGUUUUUCUGUUGGAGCAGGUGGUUCACUACCUUAGCAUUUACCAAAAAAAAAUAUGUUGGCUCAACAUAUUGUUCUUUUCCUGUUAAGUGUCACCACUUUGUAUAUUAUUGUAUUCCUGUUUUCAAAGCACAUAUGAUUGUUAAACAAACGUCAUGGAAAGAGGGUGCGUGCGCGCACGCAAGGAUAAAAAAUUAAAUUGGGAAUUAAGUUAUUAUGUUUUUAUCUUUUAAGUUUGAGCUUGAGGAAGCUUUUGUUUGUUGGUUUUUUUUUAUAAGGGGUGUAUAUAUGUAUAGAUAUAUACAUGUUUUGGUUGCAAUAGAAAAGAAAGAAUGUGUGUAUUGUGGUAGGACCAUGCCUCUUUUUAUUUUGUACAUUUUUAAUGUGGUGGGAAACUAACUGUAAGGCUAACUGAUUGUCCAUAUUUUUUAUUGUCCAAGUUAUUUUCGUUGUCAUUUUUUAUCAUUGAGGAGCAUCCUUUCUAUUGCUCAUAGAACCAUAUAUUAUAGGAGCAAUGUUCCUUUUUAGCAUGUUAUUAGGUUCAAUCAUAAAGAGACAUGAUGGGAACAGAUAGUUGUUGUGGGAUUGCCAUCCUGAGUGAGUUUAAUGGGAUGAUAUGACUAUUGCUAACAGUCAAACUUUUAAAGAAUUGUUAUGAGAAUUGAAGGAGAAAGGGUGUUUGAUAAAUAAUGUUGUUCGAGAAUUGCUCAGGCCAAAAAUACUUAAAAUAGCGUUGCCUUUCAUCUUGAUUUAUCAAUGGAUGCAGGCUACUGCAUAUUUAAGCUAAGACAAAACUUAUGAGGUUUUUGUCGUUUUUGUCGAUGUUUGGGGAGUUGUUUUUGUCGUUUUUGUCGAUGUUUGGGGAGUUCAUAACCUGCACUUUGUAUUUUUGUUAUGAUCAUUGCGUCUAACAUUUUCUCAUUUUUAAUUUUUUUGUCAAUGGUGUUUUCUAUCAAUAACAUCAAGAAAUACAUCUUCCAUGCAUCCCUCCGUGCUCAGGUGUGUCGCGUCUGGGUGCCGAAACUAAACGAUGAAACAAGCAGUUUCAAUUGCUUGUUUGUUGUCAGGUCAGAUAAUUCUUUAUCAUGAUUUUUGUCACGUAACAUUUAUAAGGAAAUAAUUUUCAAUUGCUUGUUUGUUGUCAGGUCAGAUAAUUUUCAAUUGCUUUUUUGUUGUCCACCUCUUUUCUUUUCUUGUAAUUUUCCUUGCAAUCUAACAUUUGAUUUGCUUUUUUUCUAAGGAAAUCCUUAUUUUUCCUUUUCUCACUUUCGUUUAUUUUCUUUAUUUCUAAGGAAAUCCUAACCUCAUUGGCACUGCUGUCCCUAUGGUAUUUUAAUCUAGAGAUUUCUGAGCUUCUCCCAUAUAAGCAUCAAUGCACUGUCUACUCUUCACUCUGAUCCUUUACAUUGUUUUUUGCCAUUUAUUCUUUGCCUUGUAACACACCUUAACCUUUUAUUUCUCAGCUUUGGCCAAAUGCUCCCGCCUUUCGCAAACGCUAUUAGAUCAAUUGAAGAAUAAAUUAAUGAAAAUAGAAAGAUAAUCAAGGAAGUUCUUUGCAUGGAUCCAUAUUAUCACAAGGUACAUUAAAAAACAAUGUCAUUGGUUUUUUUAUUUUAUGCUAUUGAUCAUUUCUUUCUACUUUUGUUUCUUUUUGCAUUGCGUAGCAUGACCGUCUCAUAUGCUUUUUAAAUGUGCAGAAUGACCGAUUCACUUACAGAGCUUCAAUAGCUGACUUGACCUUUAUAGAGGGUGGUGGUACGAUAGUUGUCCCCAGAGCACAAAAUCAUUAUCUGGCGAAGGAAAAGAUCCGAGAUGUACCGAGCAUCCUGCACCGACACCGACACCGACACCAUGGUAAAAAAAAAAAAAAAAGUUAAAAAUAGAAGCAACAAAAGUAACCAUGAUCAAUUUGCGAAAACCAAGUCAAACGGACUCUUGGGCAUGCUAAUUUUUAAAGUAUCAUGUCAAACUCUUUUUUUUUUCCUUAUAAAAAAAGAUUUAAUUUUUUUUUUUGAACAUAGAAAAGUUGCUACAACUCAGGACCAUAGUUAUGAAACCCGGACUGGCGGGUCGACCCGAAACCCGGUCGACCCGGUGGCUGGACCGGUUCGGGUUUGUUAAAAGACCAGCAGGUGCAACAACCUGGCAAAACCCGGGCGACCUGGUGGGUCGACCCAUGACCCGGACGACCCGGGAGAACCGGACGAGACCCGGUUUCUUCUUUAAAUGUGGUUUCUGUGAUUCGGCUUCUCUUCUUUCUUCAUCUUCUCUAUAAUGAGCUGAUGUUUGCAAAUGCUCCAGUCGUCCAUGGAAGCUGGCCCGACAGAGACAAACUGGCUGAGAAAUUUGUUGUCAUGCGCAAGGCCAGUCUUGGAAAAGAACACAUAAAUAAAUGGUUUAUGCUGUUUGAUUUUCAGACCUUUAACGCUGCUAGAAAAUAAGAAUAAUGCAAAAACAAGCAAAUCACCCAUUGAAGAGCUGGGUCUCUUGGUUUGGCUAAUAGGUGGCUGGGAAAAAAAGGGAGGGGCUCUUUAGUUUUGGUCAAGGCAGGGGGAUGAUUGAGAGAGGGACAAGGGAGGUGUGGCUGGGUCUCUGUGGCAAUUGCUUUGCCAAGUGAAAAGGAAAACUUUAUUGGUUUUGAGAGAGAAAAUCCCAAGUAGGGGGGCGGCUUGUUUUUAUUUUUGGUAGAGAUAGGGAAAAUUUAGGGUUGUGAAAUUUUUUUGGUAGAGAUAGGGGGCGGCUUUUAAAUUUUUUUUCUUUUUAAUUAAAAAAUUAACAUAUUAUUUUUUAAUGUAAAAUAAAAAAAUUAAAAUAUUUUUUUAAACUUUAUUAUUUAUAACAUUUAUAGUCUAUAUUCACAUGGAUUUUUUCUUAAUUUUUUCAUAUAAAUAUUCAAACUUUAAUAUAUAUAUUUUUUAAUUUUUCCGGGUUGACCCGAGUUGACCCAUAAAACCCAGGACUCGGCCCUGUAACCGGGUCAAUCCCCGGACCGGGUUUAAUAACUAUGCUCAGGACUCCUCCAAAAUAAAAAUACCCGGUGUCAUUGAGCCGCCAUGCUAAAGUAAUUGUAUCAAUAGUAACGUUUUUUAUUUGGAAAUGUAUUAAAAUAAUAGUUUUUUAUUUUUUAAAUUUAUUUUUGAUAUGCAUUCAUCAAAACAAUUCAAAAACAUUAAAAAUAUAAUUUUAAACAAACAAUAUUUUAACCACAAUUCUAAAAAAAAAAGCAAUCAAUCAACCAAACCCAUUUCCACAGGUACACACGGCCUCUUUAAGCACAGUGUAAAAUUGUAAUGUUGCUUUUGGGGAAAACUGAAUACUGCACCGACCACCUUAUUUAUUAGUCGUUGAGGAAGAAGCUGCUUGUGUACAAUCCUUUAAACAAAUUAAUGAAACUCCCUUUGGCUGUCCAAAACGUGCCCUCAAAGAAAGGAAGAUGACAUUCGUCCAAAGAGAAGGUAGAAAGGACAGAAACCACCGGCUGCAUAUGGCAUUUUCUGGUCCAAAACAAUAUUUUUUUGAAAUUUCACCAUGAUGAUGUUCUUAUGGAACCCCAUCUGUUCUUCCACAACUGCAUUAAUAUCAGAAUAUGCAACCCAGCUAAAAACACAGCAAUUCUCCCUCAUUAUAAGUUGAUUUUCUCAUGUUAGUUGUGUUCAAGUUAAGAAUUUUCUUAAACAGAUUUGAGUUUGUAUGACUGCAAAUCAUAAGAAGCAAGGUCAAAAGAAAAGACAAUAAUGAUGGGCAAUAAAGUUGCAGAAAUGAAGUACGGUCCAUAUGUACAGGUCAAAAAAGGUUCAACUCAUUCUGUUGUAUUUAUUAGUUCCUUCCAGGAACCGACAGUGCUAGGUUGACUAUCGUACAAGAUAAACUGUCACGUCAAAAAAAUAAACUAACAAGCUUAUCCUAGAAUUUCGUAGGGGUAAACAAGGCACGCUUAUCAACGUAUCUUCUUGCUAAAACUGUGGUCCUUCAACCACCAAAACAGAGAAAAGAAUGUUCUUACGUGGUUGAUGAUAGGAACAUGACCAUCCGGCUUCUUUGAGCGAAAUUGUUGAGGGGACCUGCUACAUUGAUUGUUUGACAUUGUACACUUGCUUUAUGUAUGCACCAAGGUUAGUGAUUCCAAACAUAAAUGUGAAUUUUACUUGUUGAAAGAAUCUCAAUGUGUCAUAUAAUAUAUAUCGCAUGGCAGCCUCUGAAUGUCUGUCAUUAUUCUAAUGGUCUGAGGUUUCUGCAAACUGCACCAACUCAAUUUCCAUUGCAAGUAAUCCUCUCCGAUAGUUCUAAGCUGAGCCCAUUAGAAGGACUUGUACCGCAACGAGAAACAAGAUAAAUGAUAAAUGAUACAUAUGCAACCGUGCCACUUCCGAUCAGAAAGCCAAAGAGCAAGCCCUUAACUUCAGAUAUAAAGAAAUCAAUCAAAAGAUACCCAUUGAUCAGGAUAACCAGGACAGCAAUAGUCCACGCCAGUCUCUACAAUAUAAAUGAGCAGAACAUUAGAUACAGAAAAAACGAUGCAAAAGUUUAUAUCAAUUGGGAAUCAUCUUUUAUAUAGAAGAUGAUUGAUCUCAUUUAUACUCAUUUUCAGACACAAUAAAAAUUUGCUGAAAGCACAUAGGUGCUAGUAAAUAAUUGAAAGGUCGUUUGCAGCUUGAGAAGAUUAUAAGAAGUCUUAAACUACAUGAAAUGAUAGAUUUGUCAUGGCCGGCAAUCUAAAUGCUAGAACUACAUAGCAGAUAGAGGAGAAAAUAUGAAAAAUUGGUUUCUUAAUUUAUGAAGUUAAUGCAUAGUCUCUAGACUAACAGAACUUCUUGCUGAUUUGUUUUUCUAUUUACAUAGAGGGACUUUGCAUUUUGUGCAACUGGAAGCCCUUGGCAAUAUAUUCCGCAAAUCAAACUGCAGAUGCAAUACUAUAACUGUUAAAAUGGUAUUGAAAAACCAAUUUAUAGGAACCAAGACCUCUGUAGCCUGAUGUUCUGACAUGAAGAACAACAGGUAUUGAACAUGGAACUUUUCUGGUUCUAUUUCAACCGUGACAGCUACCAAUGUAUCACACAUGACAGCACAGACAACACAAAACUUACUAGAAAUGUGAGUCAACAGUUUACCUCAAGAACAGGCCCGAUUUUAAAUACCCCCAUGACCUGCUCCUUGGCUACCAAGGUCAGAAGAGGGAUAAGUGCGAAAGGAAUCUGCAUCGACUGGAGCACAUUAAGCCACUCAUUCAGAAUAUCCAAAGAAGCUUCAGAUGUGUUGAAAAUGAUGGCAACAAUAAUAGUUGGGAUAAUAGCAAAACUCCGUGUUAUCAAUGCCCUCGUCCAUUUCUUUAAACGCAGGUUGAGAAAACCUCCCAUGAUAAAUUGCCCAGCAUAGGUGCCAGUUAUUGUACUACUUUGUCCAGCAGCCAACAAGCCAAUACCCCAGAUAUAAAGAAUUGGAAAGAGUCCUCCACCGUACUUCUCCUCAAGAUACUGCCCUGCAUUAACUAGUCCUAUACUACUGGCUUGUGGAGUACCAUAAAACCCCUUAGCAAACACGGUUGUAACGAACAAAUUUAUCAUAAAAGAGACAAAAAGAGCUACUGAGGACUCAAUUGAAUAGUAAGUCAGUGCCUCUUGCACCCGGGCUUUCUUCUGAGGAUCGAUCUUUCUAGACUGUACCAAAGCAGAAUGUAAGAACACAUUGUGCGGCAUUAUGACACAACCCACCACACCCACAGCUUGUCGAAUUGUCUUUGAACCAAGUCUUGGAAUUAAAAUACCUACAAGAAGGAUCAUAAUCAAUCAGAAGAAUGGGUGCAGCCAGUGAAGAUAUUCACAGAAACAAAAUCCAAACACUGAACAGCAGAGUUUUCACUUCCUCUACCAAAUAAAAUUCUUACCCUUUAAAAGUUCUUUUCCACUUGGCUUGGCAUCACCACACAUCCAGGCAAAUGAUAAAGCCAUUGUCGCAAUCAGAACCGCAAAAACACCUUCUAACUUCCUUACUCCAUAAUUCUCUAGAAAUAAAAACAUGAAACUGUCCACACAGAAAAGAGAACAAAAAACCCCAGUUAAUAAAACAAAUCAUCAAACAAGUGCAACUAUUAACUACUAUCUUCCAGAACUAAAAAAAACGAGCAUCAGAGAAUUAUCCAAAAAGAUAAGAAUGACAAUUAACGAGCAAUGUUGACUUGAUGACCAACUUCACAACGAAGACAAUAUAACUCGAUCCGAAAUUAUCAGUUUAUUUCAAACCAAAUUCUAUAAAACCUGUCAAAAUCAUAAAAAAAAAUGGAAAAGAAAACAAUAGGAUUUGGAUUCAAGAGUAAAUCCAGCAAAAACCAAAAAUUAUAAACCACAAACAAUUCAACACAGCACAUACCAAUCCGAUGCCGUAAUUAGAACUCCGGCCCAAAGAGGCAAGAACCCAUUACUCAAAAUCUGAAUAGCAAUAGCACUCCCAAUAACCUCCUGUAUAUCAGCACCAAUAAGUGCCACCUCCGCCAUAAACCACAAAAUAUACCUAGCCCAAUUCGAAUACUCAUCUCUACACAACUCCGCCAAGUGCCGCCCCGUCGCGACCCCAACACGAGCUGACAACAUCUGGAUCAACAACCCCAUGACUGUUGCCCACAGUAAGAGCCAUAACAACGAGUACCCAGCAAUCGCCCCUGCCUGAAGAUCCCCUUCUAAAUUCCCUGGAUCUAAAAACGCUAUGCUCAUUAAGAACCCAGGUCCUGUGAAUAGCCAGAGUUUUCUCCAUGAGAAUGGUGGGACAUAAUCAACGGCGUCUAUUGAGUGUGGUCCUUCCACGUCAACGAUCACGAUUUUCUCUCGCGCUUCGAAUGCUACUUCAUCGGAAUAAUUCUCGCUUUGUAACGAUUGAGAUUGUGAUGAGGAUGAUAACGGCAACAGACGGUUUGAUUCCUCAUCUUUUUCGUCGUCUUUAGAAUCCUCUCCUCCAGAUGGCGAACUCAUUUUUUGAAAUUCCGUUUUAAAUUAGAAUAUUCCGUUGUGGAGUGGAGUGGAGAGGUGCAGACAGGGGUGACCUUAAUCUCCGAUAUGGUGAAGUCCGAUGUGAAUUUGUUAGGAUGGUGGAAUUAUGAUUUUAUGUGCUACUGUCUUCUUCUAUUUUAAUGAUGGUUAUUGUAGAGUAGGUUUCAUGUAAUAGAUGAUCAUCGCAGUAGGAUAUUAUAUAGCCAAUCAUGUAUUGACGCGCGAUAAAUUGGUUGGCUUUUUUUACGGAACUUUGAAGAAACAAGAAAUUAUAACUUUGAAAUUGCUUCGAGAGCAUAAAUCUGUUCUCUAUGUUUUUUUUUGGCUGAAUUUUAGUUAAAAUAGCUAGUUUUUUUAAAAAAAUAAUCACAUAAAGAGUUGUAUUAUGUUUUUAAUAAAUUAUUAUAUAUGUACUAAAAGAAAUGGUGUUUUCCUAAAAAGAAAAGAGGUAAAAUUAUAAAAUAAUAAUAAUAAUACACUGUAUAUCACGUGGAUGAAUGGGAUAUGAUAGAAAUUGCAGCAGAAAGGCCCACGAGAAAAUGUGAACAGAAAGAAGGACGAUGAGCACCAUUCUUUUUCCUCAUGGAAGAAGGAAUUCAUGCCAUCCAGCACAACGAGCGAUGCGAGACAAGGCAUAUGCUGACUUCUCAUUGUCUUCAAAAAAGCAACGAUGAACAUCUCAUGGCUGUAGCCUGGUAGGCCGUGGCAUCUCAGCUCAUGGCCAUUGACUUGAGCUAAUGAAGGUAACAUGCGUGGAAGCAGAUGAUGUUUGAGGUACUUUUUGUAGAUUUCUUGCUUUUAUUGCCGCAUGGUAGCCAAUUCCCUGUCGUUUAAUUCUGAUUUAAAAAACAAAGAAGGAGUCAUAAAUAUCCAUGAAUCGAAGGAACGAUCCUUACGCAGUCUAUAACACAACGUUCAAUAACCACGACGAAAUAAACAGCUUCAGUUUUUGAUGGUCAUGGUACAAGUGAAGAAGUACUAAACAGAGAAUAAUCGGAAGAAGAGACUAACUAUGGAUCCGGAUGGUACACAGAUUUGAUUCCCACAUUAUCAUCUAAAAUAAAAAUAAAAUCGUAUGGAUGGCACAAUGUGAAUGAUUAGUACUAAGACCACAAUUAGCCUUAAAAUGACAGGUUUGUGUCCAAGCACAUGAACUAUCCUGGGUGCUGUCGCUUGGAUGCAGAGCCAAGCUAUUUUUUAUAUAAAAAAUAAUAUAUAGGUAUUUAAAUGAGAUUAAAAAAAGAUAUGAAAAAUUAGUCAUGAAAAAAUAUAUAACAACGCUAAUUAGAGUUAAGUCAACACGAGAUAUUCCAUCAAAUUCAAGAUCUAGAUUAUAUAACUAGAAUAACUCAAUAAAAAAAAAGAAUUAUAAAGCCUUUUAAAAAAAGUGUAUUAACUUUUUUAACAUUUGACCUAAGUCAUUAAAUCCGAAGCACUCGAUUUAGAAAAUUUUAUGAAGUUGAAAAAUUAAAUAUUAAAAGAUGAAAUUGAAAAAAAAAAUUCAAUCAUACAAAAUAAUUUUAAAAAACAGCAAUUCAAAUAAUGAAGAUCAAAAUUAUUAUUACUACUAUUAUUAAUAAGUAAUAUCAUCACUGUUAUUAUUAUCUCUAUUGUUAUUAAAACUAUUGUCGUUUUUAUUAUUGUUAUUACUAACACUAAUAUUGCUAUUAUUAUUUAGUAGUAGAAGUCGUAUUAUUAUUAUUUUCACAACUAUUACCACUAUCAUCAUCACUAUUAUUAUUAUGGUUACUAUUACUAUUGUCAUUAUUAUGUUAUUAUCACUACUGUUAUUAUUAAUAUUUUUAUUAUCAUUCUUCUUCUUUUUCUUCUUCUUUAUAUUAUUAUUAUUAUUAUAACCAUAAUUUUUGUUAUUAUUAUCAUUAUCAUUAUCAUUACAUUUAUUAUCAUCAUCAUUACUACUAUUAUUAUUAUAACAAACUAUUAUUACUACUACUAUUACCACUAUUAUCACCACCACUACCUAUAUCAUUUUUAUUAUUAUUACCAUUACUAUAACAAUUAUCACUAUCAUUACUAUUAUUAUCAAAAUUAUUUUCAUUAUCACCACUAUCACCAUCAUGAUAAACUAUUAUUAUUAUUAUUACUAUUACCAUUAUUAUCAUUAUCAAUAGUAUUACUAUUAGUGUUGUUGUUGUUGUUGUCACAAUUAUUAUCAUUGAAAAAACAAAAAUCAUAAACUUGAUUUAAAUAAUAAAAUUGAAAGCCAUAAAAAAUUUGACAAGAGGGCAAAGGGAAAAAAAAUAAGAAAUUAAAAGUAGAAAGACUGAAUUGAGAAAAAAAUAUACAAAUUAAAAACCAAGGGUUAAAUUAAAAAUAAAUAAAGCUUUAUCAGAAAUGAAAAAUAACAAAAAUACAAAUAUUAAAACUAAAAAGAUCGAAUCUGAAAUACCAAUAACAAUGAGGACUAUGGUAUAUUAAUUUGUCGAAGUAGAAGAGAGAAAUGAGAGGGAAAGAAAAGAACCAAUCAUAUUUGAACGACACGAGCCAAUUCUAAUGGAAAAGACUAUUAUUUUUUUUACUCUUGGAGUUUUUUUAUUAUUUUAUUAUUUAUUAAAAUGUUGAAUAGAAAAAAAAUACUCUCAAACAAAUUAAUAAUAACUAAUAUAUCAUGUAAAAAUAUGAAAAUAUCCCUAAUUAAAAGACAAUCAUUUUUUUUUAAAACUAAGAUCAUAAACAUCACUCCAUUAUUUUAAUGAUUUAAUGAAUAGUAAAGAGUGUCAAUCUCCACAGUAAAAUCAACUUCCCCUUUGGAAUGUUUUUUAUUAGCCACGCCAAAUCUAGGUAUACGCUAAGGAUGCCAAAAGAGUCUUCUGAUGCACUUGCGUGACAUUGCAUAUCUCCACCAAGACCCAACCAGAAGGCGACAAAGACAAGAGAAGGCCUAAUUUCAUUGACAAAAAACAUCACAUAAUGUUUGAUCGUACUGCAAAUCACAAUCCUACAAUUUCUUGUCCGCAUUGCUUGCUAUACACGUCCAGACUGGGUAAGAAACAGGCUUAGAGACAGGAGACAUGAUGUACGAUAAAAUUACUCGUGCGAUCGAGGACUAAAAGCAAAGGCAGCCAUUUUGUUUUAUCAUCCUCCUUUCUCCAUGAUGCAUGUGCAAUGUGCAUGUAUUAUUGCUGGUUCCCAUCAUUAAUAAAGCAUUUUAUCUUUAAUAACAUGGGCCAUGCAUGCCCGGAUCUACGAUUUAACGGGCAAUUUAUUUUCCAUUCACAAAGCAACACAUGUGGCUAGACCGCUGUCUUCGUGUCAAAUAGGAGUCAUGGCAGAAUGUAUAUAGCUGGUAUUGUUUUUUAAAAGUUUUUUUUAUUUGAAAAUAUAUUAAAAUAAAUAUUUUUUAAUUUUCACAUUAACAUAUAAAAAACCAUUAAAAAAUAUUAAUUUAAUAUUUUUUUCAGAUAAAAUAUACUUGACAAAUUAAAACACGCAAAGUUAUCAUACUCUUAAAUACAAUACCCUGAAUACUUACUGAGAAAAAAGUUUGAGCAUGCUUGGGCGUGGCCGACAUAUGGCUUUCAAUGGCUGGGCCUUUGCCAUGGUGAAACCAGGCCUCUCGGUCAUAUCCACCGAUUUAUCAUCCAUUCUCUGCCACUCAAAACACUGAAUCAGCGAGCCCAAUGCCAACCCCACCAUUCUUAAGGCCAAGCCUUCUCCAGGACAGCUCCUCCUGCCAUACCCAAAAGGCAUCAGCCUAAAACCAUCUCUAGCCCCCUCCAGGCCAUUAAAUCUCUCAGGCCUGAAUUUCCUUGGGUCCAACCAGAUUUUAGGAUCAUUGUGUAUGGCCCACAUGUUCACAAAUAGCAUAGUGCCACGUGGAAUGCGGAACCCUCCAACCAGGCAUUCCUCUGAUGAUUCAUGAGGUACUAGCAGUGGAGCUGGUGGGUACAUCCUUAGUGUUUCAUUUAUGAUGCUUCGGAGGUAAGGAAGUUGGGCAAGAUCGGCUUCAUCAAUUAGACGAUCAGGUCCGAUAUACUCGUCGAUUUCUUUUUGAGCCUUCAGGAGGACUUCCGAAUGGUUGAGCAGGAGUGAAAGUGCCCAUUCCAUUAUACUAGAUGAAGUGUCUGUUCCUGCAAAUAGGAGCACCUACACUCGGAAACAAGAUGUUGUGAUGAUCAGUAGCAGUUAGAGAGUCGACAAAAGCGACGCAAACCGAAUUACCAUCAAGUGAUCUACCAAAUCCAUAAUGGCUGUGAAAUUAUUAUGACCUGUGUAUUGCGGUUACUUGAAUAUUUUAGUAAUACAACACUACAAGUCCAGCAGAUUUCAUCCACCAUGGUUAAAAAAGUUGCACAGCGUUGUCGCUUUAUUAUGUUUCUCGAUCACAUUCCACUGUCAUCUUAAUUUCAAUGAUUCCCAUUACAAAAUGACUAAUAAAAGGAGAUAAUUUUUUCAUCAGAUCGCAGUCAUUUUAAGUUUGACGAUUCCCAAUAUAGAGUACGGGCGGAUUUUGAAUUAUUGUCUAAUUACCCUGUUGAUGAGAAUGUUAUGUAAAUCGAGCAAAUGAUCACAGAUUCUUACCAGCAUAAGCCCUUUGAUAAUAUCAUCCGUGUAAUACUCAGGUUCGGUUUCUUGCAAUGAAAGCAGAACCUGAAUCAUAGUCCUUUUCCUUUCACCACAACAAUCACUCUCCAAAAGUACUCUCCUUUGUUCUUCGAUCAAGCACUGCAUGAAACUGUCCCUCUUCACUCGGCACUCUAUCAAUCUCUUCUCCAUCUUCUUUGAUUUAAUCCAUGGUACGUAGUCUCCGAUUAUGGUUUGGCCAAUUAGCGUAUACAUCUCAGCAUGAAUCGCACGAAACCUUUGUGCUUGUUCCACAUCAGAAACAUCGUCUCCAUAAUACCUCUUUCCAGCUAUCAUCCGCAUGAUGAUGUUCAGAGUCAGUUCGAGGAAUGCUUUCUUCAUAUCCACCACCUGGUUCUGAUUACGAAAGAGCCAGCCGAUCAUCCAUUUUACCUCCUCUAGGUGUGUGGCAGAGUGCAUCUGGAGGCGAUAUGCAGAUAAGACUUCAAUAGACACGAUCUUUCUAAGGUUUCGCCAGUGGUCACCGUAGGAUGCCCAAAACAGGUUUGUACAGUUGUAACCAAGGUGUUUUCCAAUGAGUAGACGAGGGCGGUUAGCAAAGACAACGUCGUUUUUGGUAAAGCAUUCUUCAGCUAUUGAGGGGGAUGAGACAACAAGGACUCGACGGGAUCCGAGUCGUAGCAAGACAACGAGCUGGCCAUAUCGAUUGGAUAUAUUGGACAGGGUCCUGUAAAUUGGCUUCUUAAACAGGUAGAGAUGGCCAAUGAUCGGGAGUGAAAGGAAUGGACUAGGCGGGAGGUUUUGGAUCUUGUCUAGGAGGUGUCUUGUGAUCAUAUACAAGGCUAAAAAAACAGGAAAAUAGAGAAAUAGUGUCGCCAUGAUCAAUUUGCCAAUGGCGAAUCUCCUCGUCGUUCGAAGGAGUAUUACGUUAAACCCUGUGCCUUGAUGAAGCUAUCUGUGGAUUAUAAAAGAAACGCAGUUGAAGCUUGUUAAAGUAUAUACCUUUGAUCAAGUCUGCCAAAGAAACAAUCAUGCUAGCUCGACCUUUGUCUAGAUUUGAAUUUGAGUUGAAAUGUCGACAUACAAAGGCCACCUACACUAAGAGACGACCAUAAAUUACCGAAAGCAGUACUUUCAGAAGUGGAAAAAAAGGCCAUGGAUUAAUCUCUAAAUUUUGAAACACGGCCGUGAAUAUCAAGCAGACAAUGGUCAUAGGACCAAAUAAAUUGAGUAGCCAUCAAUUCAUAUCGGCCUAGCUUUUUUGCUCUGCAUAUGUUCUGAAUGAGGAAUCAGCAACAAAACCGAAAAGAAAAUAGCAAGAAGAUUGUCGUGGCUCAAAAAAGACCAGUAAUAAAGAACAUGUAUAGCACAAAUGUCACAUCAUCUUUUAUUCUCAGCUAGAUAAGAAACAGCAUCUCUUCGAUAGUUUCCAAGUCAUCACAGUCUAAUAGCAAUAAUUGCACUAAAGUGGGCAUCGAACAAAAGUGAAAUUAUUAUUUUCCCAAUGGUAAUUACAACUUUUCACAAAUUUCAUUGGUAAUUUUAAAAUUGCAUGGCUUAGUCUUUUUAUAUUUUUUAAAUAUUCUUACGUAAUUAUUUUUAAAAUCAAAAAGUUAUUUAAAUUGAAAUUGAGUUUUUUUUUUUAUAUUUCACUUUUCACUGUUUUCAGGACACAAAUAAAAAUGAUUUCUUUGUCUUUAAUAUCAAGAUUUUCUUACAUUUUCUCCCGUGGCUUGUUCAUAUUUUUAUUUUGGUUUUUUUUGUGUGAUUAUUAUAUGAUUUUAGAGGAAAAUUUGGUGUUUAUAAAUACAAAAAAAUAAAAAAUAAAAAGUUGUUGACACAUGCAUUAAAUGUGCUAGUAAAUAAAUCACUUCAUCGUGUUUAAGCGACAUUUUACAUUGACUUAUAGCGACAAAAAUUAACCUUCUAUAAAGUUUUUUUAUUCGUCAUAGCAAGACCUACCUCUCUAGAGGUAUGUAAGUGUAAUUUUUAGGGGUGAUUAUUUUCGGUUCGGUUCAGUUUUUAUCAAAAAAAGUAAUCAAACCGAAAUUAUUAUUUUUUUGAAAAAAAACCAAAACCGAACCGAAACCGGGUCAAACCGACCGGUUUCGGUUCUGUUCGGUUUUUUUAGGGCAAAAACCGGUUCAAACCGGUUUGGCUCGGUUUUUUCCGGUUCUGGCUCGGUUUUUUUCGGUUUGGCUCGGUUUUUUUCCGGUUUUUUGUCGGUUUCGGUUCAGUUUUUUUGGUUUUUUGUUUAUAAAACCGAACCGGCCGGUUUUUUCAAAAAUUUAAUCGGUUUAAUCGGGUUUUUUUUCGGUUAUUUUUUUUUCCGGUUUUCUCGGUUUAAUCGGUUUUCCGGUUUUUUUACUCACCCCUAGUAAUUUUCUUUGGUUUGGAACUAGAUAUCUCUCUCUCAUCUUCUUCUUCAUUCCCGCGUUUGAUUGACCUUUCAAAUUUUUAUAACCCUUCAAUUUAUUUAUUUUUCUGAUUUGGUUUUUAUUUUUCAAUCAAUAUUUUUUUUAUUUGAAUUAUUUUAAAUAUUAAAAUUUAUUUUCAAUUUCAUUCCCCAUUAAUUUUUUAAUCUGUCACAUUUAGUAAAUUAAUAUUUUUUUUUAUUUUAGAUCAUUUUAAAAUUGAUUUUUGAUUAAAUUACUUUAUGCAUCCUAUAAUUUGAUUAUUUUUUUACUUUGGAACGAAGUUCUCAAAUAUUACACUUUGCAACAUGAAAUUUAAAGACAAAUAACACUUUAUAUCCUUAGUAAUUGGUGCUAGAAAAAAAAUCAAUAAAACAUAUGUAUUUAUUUAUAAAUCUAUUAUUAUAUUUGAGAUAAUGUCUAAACAACCCUUUCUUUUCAAAACAUAACGGCGAAUAAACAAACAAAUUAGAAACAAAAUUAGAAAACCCUAUCUAUUACGAUUUGUUUGAGUUCAUUUUUUUUUAGAUCAUGUAAGUUUUUUAAUUUUAUCAUUCAAUAUUUUUCUAUAGAAUUUUCACUAAUUCUGAAAAUAACAUAAAUUAUCUCAAUUAUUUUUAUUUGUCAUUCUUUUUUAAAUUUAUAUUUUUUAAAAAAUAAAUUUUGGUUUUGAAUUAAAUUAAUUAAAUUGAUUUCUUAAAUAUAAACAUGUCAUGCUACUCCAUGAUGUUUUUGUUUUCUUAAAUAUAGCUUUUUGGGGUCAUUUUUUUUAAUUGAUUGGUUUUUAUUAUUAUUAUUAGGCUUCAAUAUUUUGUUUAUUAUAAUUUAAUUUCCUAUUUUGUUUAGAUUUAGGUUUCAUGGGAUUAUCACAUUUCUAAUAUAAAAAAAAACAACAAGGAAAAUAAAAAAAGAUUUUGAAAUAAUAACAUUCAGACUUAAUUUAUGCUUGUAAAGGAAAACAGAUAGCUGGCAAGCUGGUUGCUUGAAAAUAAAUAGGUAGUUAAAAUAAUCUAAAAAAAUUCAAGCCUAAUUCAAAAGUCAAGAAUAGAUCUAGGAUUUAGUUUGUUUCAAUGAAAGUCUUCGAGCACAUCCUCUCCUUAUACUGUUAUAUGGUUUAAGUGUUUUGCAAUUUCGAAUAAUAAAAGUUCCACUUGAUCUAGAGAUUGUGAGGAGAUUAUUUGCACUAUUUCUUAAGCCCUCUCAAUACCCUAACUGACCUCCACUCUUGCAUUGUGAAAUGGGAUGUUGCUACCAUCUUCGUUCGUCAAACAGGCCAACCAACAAUGAUAUUAAUUUAGGAAUAAAAAAAAAAACUGACAAAUUAAAAAAAGAAUAACCGAAAAAACCGAACUGUGAAAAAAACCGAUUAAAUUUUAAAAAAACCGACCGGUUCGGUUCGGUUUUAUAAGCUUGAAACUGAAAAAACCGAACCGAACCCAAACCGGAAAAAAACGAGCCAAAUCGAGAAAAACCAAGCCAAACCGAUUUGACCGGUUUUUGUCCUAAAAAUCGAACCGAACCGAAACCGGUCGGUUUGAACCGGUUUCGGUUCGGUUUCUUUUUUUUUUAAAUCGGUUUUGUUACUCUUUUUUAUGAAAACCGAACCGAACCGAAAAUGACCACCCCUAUAUCAAUUGAUGCAACAAAUAUGGGUUUUUUAGUCUUUAAAUCUUGUUAUCAAAUUAUAUUCUAAUUCAACAAUUAAAUAUAAAAUUACACUUGUUUUUAUGGUAUUAGCGUUAGAGUAUUUCAAAACUUUUUAAGACCUAAAAAAAAAUCUUGACAAUUAAAGAAAGUAAACUCAUGAGUGAAAUAAAGUUAGAAAUCAUCGCAGGUACUGAUAUCGCAGCUAAACAAUGGUCCCAGUAAUGAUAUUAAAUACAUAUGAGGCUAGCUCGGUUACUUUGCAUUGGAAGGAAAAGUAAAUGAUAUUAGGCCAGAGACUGUGACCUUUUACAACUAAUAAACUUGGCAAAUUAAUAUCUUCUGUUCAGCAAGCAGCAUACAGCCUCCUUCAAAUUUGAGAAAGAAGGUUUGCCAUCGAUGGACGGGAAGUGCAUCUGGCCAGUAAAGGCUGAGCCUUGGGCAUAGUGAGUCCAGUCCCCCCUGUCAUGUCCACCAUUUCCUGGCUAACCCUGUCCCAUUCGAAACACUGAAGUAAUGACCCCAGAGUCAAUCCAACCAUGCGUAUGGCCAAACCUUCCCCAGGACAUCUCCUCCUUCCUGACCCGAAAGGCAUCAAUUUGAACCCAUCUCUAACUCCCACGGAACCUUCGAACCUUUCUGGCUUAAAUUUUGCUGCGUCGUC
RNAcentral lists this long non-coding RNA (27579 nucleotides) under Populus trichocarpa (black cottonwood). RNAcentral's name for it is "long non-coding RNA (PTRI_LNC000636)". Lineage: Eukaryota; Viridiplantae; Streptophyta; Magnoliopsida; Malpighiales; Salicaceae. The record is from RNAcentral.